This 75-nucleotide transfer RNA is filed under the name Paludibacteraceae bacterium. RNAcentral describes it as "tRNA-Met". It matches the Rfam family "tRNA". From Rfam's summary of the family: Transfer RNA (tRNA) molecules are approximately 80 nucleotides in length. Their secondary structure includes four short double-helical elements and three loops (D, anti-codon, and T loops). Lineage: Bacteria; Pseudomonadati; Bacteroidota; Bacteroidia; Bacteroidales; Paludibacteraceae. The record is from RNAcentral.
CGCGGAGUAGAGCAGUGGUAGCUCGUCAGGCUCAUAACCUGAAGGUCGGAGGUUCGAUCCCUCCCUCCGCAACCA